This 253-nucleotide ribosomal RNA is filed under the name uncultured bacterium. RNAcentral's name for it is "partial 16S ribosomal RNA". It matches the Rfam family "Bacterial small subunit ribosomal RNA", at positions 524 to 776 of the family's 1533-position model. The record is from RNAcentral.
UACAGAGGGUGCAAGCGUUAAUCGGAAUUACUGGGCGUAAAGCGCGCGUAGGCGGUUAUUUAAGUCGGGUGUGAAAGCCCCGGGCUCAACCUGGGAAUUGCAUCCGAUACUGAGUGACUAGAGUAUGAGAGAGGGAGGUAGAAUUCCACGUGUAGCGGUGAAAUGCGUAGAUAUGUGGAGGAAUACCGGUGGCGAAGGCGGCCUCCUGGCUUAAUACUGACGCUGAGGUGCGAAAGCGUGGGGAUCAAACAGG